GACGAACGCUGGCGGCGUGCUUAACACAUGCAAGUCGAACGGAAAGGCCCCGCUUUUGUGGGGUGCUCGAGUGGCGAACGGGUGAGUAACACGUGAGUAACCUGCCCUGGACUUUGGGAUAACUUCAGGAAACUGGGGCUAAUACCGGAUAGGAGCUCCUGCUGCAUGGUGGGGGGUGGAAAGUUUCGGCGGUUGGGGAUGGACUCGCGGCUUAUCAGCUUGUUGGUGGGGUAGUGGCUUACCAAGGCUUUGACGGGUAGCCGGCCUGAGAGGGUGAACGGCCACAUUGGGACUGAGAUACGGCCCAGACUCCUACGGGAGGCAGCAGUGGGGAAUAUUGCACAAUGGGCGGAAGCCUGAUGCAGCGACGCCGCGUGCGGGAUGACGGCCUUCGGGUUGUAAACCGCUUUCGCCUGUGACGAAGCGUGAGUGACGGUAGUGGGUGAAGAAGCACCGGCUAACUACGUG
Molecule: ribosomal RNA, 468 nt
Filed under: uncultured bacterium
Lineage: Bacteria
Description: partial 16S ribosomal RNA
Rfam family: Bacterial small subunit ribosomal RNA
Source: RNAcentral